RNAcentral lists this ribosomal RNA (377 nucleotides) under uncultured archaeon. RNAcentral's name for it is "bacterial SSU rRNA". It matches the Rfam family "Archaeal small subunit ribosomal RNA", at positions 350 to 727 of the family's 1478-position model. The record is from RNAcentral.
UUACAAUGCGGGAAACCGUGAUAAGGGGACACCGAGUGCCAGCAUCAUAUGCUGGCUGUCCGGGUGUGUAAAAUACACCUGUUAGCAAGGGCCGGGCAAGACCGGUGCCAGCCGCCGCGGUAAUACCGGCGGCCCGAGUGGUGAUCGUGAUUAUUGGGUCUAAAGGGUCCGUAGCCGGUUUGGUCAGUCCUCCGGGAAAUCUGACGGCUUAACCGUUAGGCUUUCGGAGGAUACUGCCAGGCUUGGAACCGGGAGAGGUAAGAGGUACUACAGGGGUAGGAGUGAAAUCUUGUAAUCCCUGUGGGACCACCUGUGGCGAAGGCGUCUUACCAGAACGGGUUCGACGGUGAGGGACGAAAGCUGGGGGCACGAACCGG